Molecule: long non-coding RNA, 3106 nt
Organism: Capra hircus (goat)
Lineage: Eukaryota; Metazoa; Chordata; Mammalia; Artiodactyla; Bovidae
Source: Ensembl
CCCGCCCUCAGGCACCGCCCCCGCCCCGCCCCUCCCAAUCCCUCAGCUUGCGCUCCAGAGCUGGGCACCAAGGGAGGGGGAGCAGCUGGGGAAGGGGGGCCUCCCGGAGCGCAGGGUACGGGGUCCCGGGGCGGGCUGCCGGCGCUUGAACCGGUGCGUCCUCCAGCUCCGACGGCUACGCGGCGCGGGGAACCGCAAAGAUGGGGAACCCGGGGACGCAGGCUCUUACAAGUGCGGGAGCGAUCACGGAGCCAGCGAACCACCAGUUAGGUCCAUUCAGCAUCUCAGAGGCCGAAGGCAUUCGUCUCUUCGUGCGCCCUGGAAAAGGAACACGCAGCUGUACCCAGGAAGCCCGGGAAUGGAGGCUAUGUCCCAGUUAUCAAGCCAGGAAAGAUAGAAGGGAACCCACAGAAACUUGCCUCAGCCAGACUCUAAUAUCACAACACCCACAAACUAAACACAUAAUAAAUAAGAUAAACAGAAGGGAGAGGGGAAUUUUGAAAGUUAGUUGGUCGGUUGAGUUCCAGCCCAUUAGCUGUAAGAGGAACUUCUGCUGUCAGCCCCAGUGUGUGUGUGUGUGUGUGUGUGUGUGUGUGUGUGUGUGUGUGCCCCCUCUCCUGUGCGCCUGCGUGCACUUGCCUGCUUGCACAUGGUGCCUGCUUUUUAAGGCUGGAGGUGCUGGGGUCCAGUGAGAACAGUUAGCACUUACACAUGGGCGCUGCUCUGUGCCAAGUGCUUGACCUGCAUUUUUCUACUUAAUUUAAAAGUUAUCUGGUGCUAUCAAGUCGUGCCCACUCUCAGCUCCCAAGUGGAACAUAUGAGGACGCUGAGCCCUAAGAAAUAAACACGUGCUGGGCAGCAACCCCACUCCCGCCUCAAUUUCUGCUUCACCACUUGGCCUGAAUCACUUUUUUCUUUUUUUAAGCCUCACCACACAGCAUGCAGGAUUUUAGUUCCCCAAUCAGGGAUUGAACCUGGGCCCUACGCAGUGAGAGCACAGAUUCCUAACCACUGGACUGCCAGGAAAUUCCCUGAAUCACCAUUUUUAAUAGAAUAAAUAAUAAAACUGAAAUACAGAAAGACUGUAAGUGUGGCCAGGGGUCCCAAAGAUGACUACAGAUGGUGGAGCAGUGGGUGAAAACUCCCAGGCAUUUGCUCUAUAGGUGAGAGGCUCCCCCUCAAGAGGAAGGAUCUGUUCCCCACAAGUGGAUAAGCAAUGCUGCUCCGACUAUCCCAGCCCAGGCCCUGAGAGGCCACAGAAGCAGGCCCUAGAGACCCCUGCAGAGAAUGUUACCAAACUCAAGUCCACAUAAGGCCAACCAACACCAAAACACCUGAGUCUGGAGCAGAGAAAGGUUUAUUGCAGGGCCCUGCAAGGAGGGAGGAGGCUCAUGCCUUAAAAACCCUAAACUCCCCAAAACUUUUCAGCAAAGCCCUUUUCUGGGAAAGGUAGAGGUGGGGUAGCUGUUGCAGACUUCAUGUUGUCAGAGCCUUUAUUCUUGAGGUCAGCUCAUGGUCAAGUCAUGAUGUUCCUAUAAACCUCCACCAAAACAAACAUUAGUAUCUGUUCUGACCAGAAAGGGAAGGGGAGUCAUUUAAUUCUGUCUCCGUGCCUCCUUGCAGCUGUUAACACGCAACAAACCUCGUAAGGAAAACAACAUGAUUACCCCUCGUUUAACAAACCUCGUAAGCAAAACAACAUGAUUACCCCUCGUUUUACGGGUUCAAGGUCCCAAGGCUCAGCUUUUGCCCUGCGAGGCCCAGGUCUUUGGUAAGAGGAGGGGUCCCUGUGCAGGCCAGUUACCCUGCUUUGGAGCAAUUGUCCAGCAUCCAGUUUGGGUCCUCCCACCAGUGCACAGUGUGCUGAAGAGACAGAUCUCAGCAGGCAGCCCCUCACAGCCCGGUCCCUAGAUCCCACCCAGCCCCAGAUGGCACUCAAAGUGCCACAGGCCACACAAAGUCUCCUCAGGCCACACAAAGUGGGGCGGGGUUCCACAAACGGCAACCCAUGGAGACAGCUGCUGCCAUCAGGUCUUGGAGGUGGGAUAGGGGAGAGGUUUGCUGCCGCUUAGAGCCUGGGCUUGGUGGCGGGCAGCUGUGGUGAGGACUCUGCCAGACACAGUCCUCAGUCCGUCCCUAUGGCCCCAGGAUUACCCACCACCCCAAGGCUGGAAGGCCUGGAGGGCCCGGGGAAGAAGGCCACAAUCCACCUCUCACUGCGCUCUGUACCGCCGGGGACAGCUGCAAGCUGACUGUUGGUGGAGCAGCGGGGCCUCUAACUGCCGCCACUGUGGAGCGAUAAGAACUGCUGGGUAGCCCUGCCCCGCCCCCUGCCCGCCUCUACUGCAAGAACAAUAGGGAAAGUACACGGAAUUGACUCUCAAGACGUAUGAAACUGGCUUUCCUUCAGGCUGGAUAAAGAGAAGUGACUGUGUGUACAGAAAACAUUACAGAGCCAACCAGGUGGUACAGAACUGCAUGUCCUGUGGCCCAACGUUACCUGAGGUGAGGUCACAGAGGCCAAGGCCAAGACUGCCUCCUGGAAGCGGCUCUCCUCCGGGAACUACGCAGGUGGAGCCACACCCAGUGACGUCCGCAGAACAGCUUUUCAUGGGGCCUGGAUUGUUCUGAGAACAGCCAGGCCCUUCAGGCAGCCCGAAUCAUAGAAGCCCUGGCCCUUAAAAUAGAAGCAGAGCCCUCCACUGCAGAAAGCAGUGCAUUGGCAGGUGCAGACGCGGGAGGCGUGAGAGGGAAACUGGGCUCACUUUACGUCUCAGCCCCGAUGUUCAAGUCGGAGAUGGCAACCCUCACAAUCCUAAGAGGAGGAUGCUCUGAUCCUCACUUAGCAAACACAGAGAGGGGAGAAGCCAUCCAAGGUCUCAUGGCUGGCAAAUGGGAAGCCUCAGCCGCCAGCGCUCACAACUUGAGCAGCUGAAAGGUGUUUGCCUUCUUAAGCCUCACCUCCCGCGUUGGUCGAAGCUGUGCCACUGGACCCUUCUAAGGAGCAGCUUUGUAGAUAAGGGUCCAGGAGACCCUCAGCACUGAGUCACCGGACCCCCUUGCUCCUCAGCCCUUGUUAUCACUCCCCCAGCUCCCUUCAAUGACA